CCUACGGGUGGCAGCAGUGAGGAAUAUUGGUCAAUGGACGAGAGUCUGAACCAGCCAAGUAGCGUGAAGGAUGACUGCCCUAUGGGUUGUAAACUUCUUUUAUAUGGGAAUAAAAUGUUCCACGUGUGGGAUUUUGUAUGUACCAUAUGACUAAGGAUCGGCUAACUCCGUGCCAGCAGCCGCGGUAAUACGGAGGCUCCGAGCUUUAUCCGGCUUUAUUGGGUUUAAAGGGAGCGUAGGUGGAUUGUUAAGUCAGUUGUGAAAGUUUGCGGUUCAACCGUAAAAUUGCAGUUGAAACUGGCAGUCUGGAGUACAGUAGAGGUGGGCGGAAUUCGUGGUGUAGCGGUGAAAUGCUGAGAUAUCACGAAGAACUCCGAUUGCGAAGGCAGCUCACUGGACUGCAACUGACACUGAGGCUCGAAAGUGUGGGUAUCAAACAGGAUUAGAUACCCGGGUAGUC
RNAcentral lists this ribosomal RNA (460 nucleotides) under uncultured bacterium. RNAcentral's name for it is "partial 16S ribosomal RNA". It matches the Rfam family "Bacterial small subunit ribosomal RNA", at positions 338 to 795 of the family's 1533-position model. The record is from RNAcentral.